UCCACGCCGUAAACGAUGGAUACUAGUUGUUGGGAUUUAUCUCAGUGACUAAGCGAAAGUGAUAAGUAUCCCACCUGGGGAGUACGGUCGCAAGACUGAAACUCAAAAGGAAUUGACGGGGGGCCCGCACAAGCGGUGGAGCAUGUGGUUUAAUUCGAUGAUACGCGAGGAACCUUACCGAGGGCUUAAAUGUAGUCUGACAGCUUUAGAGAUAGAGUUUUCUUCGGACAGAU
Molecule: ribosomal RNA, 233 nt
Filed under: uncultured bacterium
Lineage: Bacteria
Description: partial 16S ribosomal RNA
Rfam family: Bacterial small subunit ribosomal RNA
Source: RNAcentral